This is a non-coding RNA of Podarcis lilfordi (Lilford's wall lizard), 75 nucleotides long. Lineage: Eukaryota; Metazoa; Chordata; Lepidosauria; Squamata; Lacertidae. The record is from the annotation of a GenBank genome assembly.
GGAAGACUUGUAGCUCAGCAGUAGAGCAUUUGCUUUGCAUGCAUAAGGUCCCAGGUUCAAUAUCUGGCAUCUCCA